AAUUUACCAAUAUCGACACUCCCAGUUUUACUAUAAUUCACUAUAGUUUCCAAAAUAUCUUAAAUUGUGUUCCGAAGACGAACAAAGCUUUUACGGGUUUGGAACGACAUGGGGGUAAGUGAUUAAUGACAAAAUUCUCUAUUGUUCAAGGCUGCGAGCUGCCUCCGUAUCCACCAGGGGGCCUCUAAUAGUACAUGAAAUGACACCUUUUUUUGGGGGGGGGGGGGUAUAUGUCAAUGGACAAUGGUAAUAAUACAAAAACGCAAUAUUGUACAAUCAAAUCAUCUAUACGUAUCUUAUUUCCAUAGCGACACGUCAUGCAGGUACAUAGUGCUGCAUGAUCGACUGAUGUAUCACUUUUAUUUAGUUUUCCCUUUCUUAUUUAAAAUAUCCACAAACUUGUUAAUUAUAUCAUAACUUGUAUAAUACAGUGUAUUCUGAUUGUCAUAUGUGUAAAUGAAUUCCUUUUGUAGUUUAGUUGAUCUAUAAUGAGCACUGGACGCCGUCGUGUGGAUCUGUCAUCACGUAAAUUCACCCAUUUCUCCCAAAUACAUGAAAGUAAGUGGCCAGUGAACUGGGAGAAAAACUGAGUAAACUUUAUAGUUACCCACACAAUGUUCUACAGAUUCUGAGCUUGUGGAUCUGAUUUAUGCUGUCAUAAGAGGACAGACAUGUAGGUAAUGUCUUUAAUAAUACCAGACUCAAAGAAAAAGGUUCAAAUGCACAAUGCCCUUUCAUUUUGUUUAGUUUUUACCUUUUCUUUCUUUUCCUUGAUUUGCAGGGUUCAGAUUGAAUCGGUUUAUGCAGGUAUCAAAACUUGUUCUGUCAAUAAACUUGAUAUGUCAAUCUGUGAAGAACUGUUCAGGAUAAACUGUGGCUGGAUACUGGAGGAGGGAAUCAGGGUUUUGCAGAAGUCACACACAAGGCCAGACUGCACACUGACAUUUCACAGCUGCAGAUGCAAAGCAGGUGAGCAGUGUUCACAUGGGAAUAAAUGCAGUGAGCAGGUGGAGAUCUUCAUCUGA
Cyprinus carpio (common carp) is the source of this 1025-nucleotide long non-coding RNA. NCBI's taxonomy places the organism in Eukaryota, Metazoa, Chordata, Actinopteri, Cypriniformes, Cyprinidae. The record is from Ensembl.